RNAcentral lists this microRNA (19 nucleotides) under Ornithorhynchus anatinus (platypus). RNAcentral describes it as "oan-miR-1357". The record is from miRBase by way of RNAcentral. Lineage: Eukaryota; Metazoa; Chordata; Mammalia; Monotremata; Ornithorhynchidae.
AUUAUGAGAUCUGAGGGCC